GAUGAAGAACGUAGCGAAAGGCGAUACGUAAUGUGAAUUGCAAAUUCAGUGAAUCAUCGAGUCUUUGAACGCACAUUGCGCCCCCUGGUAUUCCGGGGGGCAUGCCUGUCCGAGCGUCAUUGCUGCCCUCAAGCACGGCUUGUGUGUUGGGCCCCGUCCUCCGAUUCCGGGGGACGGGCCCGAAAGGCAGCGGCGGCACCGCGUCCGGUCCUCGAGCGUAUGGGGCUUUGUCACCCGCUCUGUAGGCCCGGCCGGCGCUUGCCGAUCAACCCAAAUUUUUAUCCAGGUUGACCUCGGAUCAGGUAGGGAUACCCGCUGAACUUAAGCAUAUCAAUAAGCGGAGGA
Molecule: unclassified non-coding RNA, 345 nt
Filed under: soil metagenome
Description: partial contains 5.8S ribosomal RNA, internal transcribed spacer 2, and large subunit ribosomal RNA
Rfam family: 5.8S ribosomal RNA (bases 1-119)
Source: RNAcentral